This 69-nucleotide transfer RNA is filed under the name Hoplobatrachus rugulosus (rugose frog). Its description in RNAcentral is "tRNA-Glu". It matches the Rfam family "tRNA". Rfam says of the family: Transfer RNA (tRNA) molecules are approximately 80 nucleotides in length. Their secondary structure includes four short double-helical elements and three loops (D, anti-codon, and T loops). Further hydrogen bonds mediate the characteristic L-shaped molecular structure. tRNAs have two regions of fundamental functional importance: the anti-codon, which is responsible for specific mRNA codon recognition, and the 3' end, to which the tRNAs corresponding amino acid is attached (by aminoacyl-tRNA synthetases). tRNAs cope with the degeneracy of the genetic code in two manners: having more than one tRNA (with a specific anti-codon) for a particular amino acid; and 'wobble' base-pairing, i.e. permitting non-standard base-pairing at the 3rd anti-codon position. Lineage: Eukaryota; Metazoa; Chordata; Amphibia; Anura; Dicroglossidae. The record is from RNAcentral.
GUUCUUAUAGUAGAAGCACUACGGUAGUUUUUCAGACUAUAGGUCCGAGUUAGAGUCUCGGUAAGAACA